GUUGAUCCACAUUCUUUUAUCCAUUCAUCAUUAGUUAUCCACUUGAUCAUAAACUAUUUCCAAGCGUGCCUGAAAAAAAUGUUUAAGUAUAUAAGCAUUACGUAUAAAUACGAACAAGUACAAGUUCACAAUAUAAAAUAAAAUAAAAUAAAAUAAAGAAGAGGCGUAUAAUCCAUUACAUCAAUCAACAUCAACAACUACUAUCUAACAUGAAGAAACUGCUAUCAAACCAAAUGAUGCAUAUAAAACGAAGCCUAUUGCCUAAAAUUUACCGUGUUAUUCAUACCCAAUUUAUAAUUUACACAAAGAAUCAUAAACCGAAAUUUUUACCAUCUUUCAUUAUUAAAAAAACACAGUUAAAGCUUAAACAAAAAUGAACGGGGAUAAUCAUUAUCCACACAUUAUAGAGAAGUAACAUGCUUAAAUUACCACUUCUAAUCACGUUCUCCUAGAAAUUAGAUCUUGAAGCAGAGCAAGUAAAUAAUUCUUCCUAUUCAAGAAAGCAACUUAUAAACAGUGAGGUACGUACCUUGAGCAGGGGAAUUCUUCUACCGACAGAUAGAGUAUCAACCCUACUGCACACUCACACCCGCCGCUCGCCUAAUCGUCCGCCAAGAAUCCGACGCCUUAAACAAAUCCACGCCCCUCGCAGUAACCCGAUUGGUCAAGUUCCUAUCGAUGUCCCUCACCAAAAAGCUGCCCCUUCGUGCCAUUUUCAAGGUCUGGAGAGAAUUGGGUCUGCCCGAUAACUUCGAGGACUCCGUUAUUUCGAGGAACCCCGACAUUUUCUCGCUCCGAGAUGGAAACGAGCCCAACACUCAUUACUUAUUGCUCGGCGAUACUGUACCGUUUAAAGAUUGUCUGGUUCCCGUUGUUGAGAAUUGGAGGGUCCUCGAAUG
RNAcentral lists this long non-coding RNA (899 nucleotides) under Erythranthe guttata (spotted monkey flower). Its description in RNAcentral is "long non-coding RNA (EGUT_LNC001666)". Lineage: Eukaryota; Viridiplantae; Streptophyta; Magnoliopsida; Lamiales; Phrymaceae. The record is from RNAcentral.